UACGGGGGGGGCAAGCGUUGUUCGGAAUUACUGGGCGUAAAGGGCUCGUAGGCGGCCAACUAAGUCCGACGUGAAAUCCCCAGGCUUAACCUGGGAACUGCGUCGGAUACUGGAUGGCUUGAAUUCGGGAGAGGGAUGCAGAAUUCCAGGUGUAGCGGUGAAAUGCGUAGAUAUCUGGAGGAACACCGGUGGCGAAGGCGGGUCUCUGGGAAUAUCCUGACGCUGAGGAGCGAAAGUGUGGGGAGCGAACAGG
RNAcentral lists this ribosomal RNA (253 nucleotides) under uncultured bacterium. Its description in RNAcentral is "partial 16S ribosomal RNA". It matches the Rfam family "Bacterial small subunit ribosomal RNA", at positions 524 to 776 of the family's 1533-position model. The record is from RNAcentral.